GGCAACUUGCCCCCAAAGGGGGUGUGUUCUAUUGGAAAAACUACUAUCGUUGGUUAUUGCGCCUAUCUUUGUAGGUUUAGUUAUUCAACUAAUUUCUCAUUGGUUGGAUGAGAAAGACAAUGACUAAGAGCAAGUUGCUUCUAACCCACACAUUCGAAGUCGCAACG
RNAcentral lists this non-coding RNA (167 nucleotides) under Enterococcus gallinarum. Its description in RNAcentral is "Enterococcus sRNA B11". It matches the Rfam family "Enterococcus sRNA B11". From Rfam's summary of the family: Name 'Ref' stands for RNA in E. faecalis. Lineage: Bacteria; Bacillati; Bacillota; Bacilli; Lactobacillales; Enterococcaceae. The record is from RNAcentral.